AAUGAACGUUGGCGGCGUGGAUUAGGCAUGCAAGUCGAACGCUUUAUGUAGCAAUACAUGAAGAGUGGCGUAAGGGAGAGUAAUACACAGUUAGCUACCCUCGGGUCUGGGAUAGCGGCGGGAAACUGCCAGUAAUACCAGAUGAUGUCUUCGGACCAAAGGUGUGAUUUCGCCCGAGGAGGUGACUGUGUCCUAUCAGCUAGUUGGCGGGGUAACGGCCCACCAAGGCUAAGACGGGUAUGGGGCGUGAGAGCGUGCCCCCACUCACUGGGACUGAGAUACUGCCCAGACACCUACGGGUGGCUGCAGUCGAGAAUCUUCGGCAAUGGGCGCAAGCCUGACCGAGCGACGCCGCGUGCGGGAUGAAGGCCUUCGGUU
This 378-nucleotide ribosomal RNA is filed under the name uncultured bacterium. Its description in RNAcentral is "bacterial SSU rRNA". It matches the Rfam family "Bacterial small subunit ribosomal RNA", at positions 29 to 423 of the family's 1533-position model. The record is from RNAcentral.